Long non-coding RNA from Mauremys reevesii (Reeves's turtle), 2032 nucleotides. RefSeq lists it as uncharacterized. NCBI's taxonomy places the organism in Eukaryota, Metazoa, Chordata, Testudines, Geoemydidae. The transcript has 3 exons. The record is from RefSeq and is a predicted model, not a curated record.
AGCUCUCUGGGUAGAGCGAUCUCUUCUCUUCCCUCCUCAGAGGACGGAAGAGAAACUAAAACUGUAAAUAAUUAUGGUGUAUGGAUCAGAAAGGUGAUGGGAAGAGCAAAUGUAAACAAACUGCAUGUGGGAGCUUGUCUGGGAUCACAGCUGGUGCAAGAGUUUGGGGGCCUGGACUAUGGAGGAGACCCUACAGUUCCUGGUGAAACAGCAAGAUGACUCUGCAAAGUUUCCAGCAGCCACACCACCUGGACUGGCAGUAGCUGUGUGCCUGGCAGGUGGCACAGCAAAAGGGCCUGCAGAAGUUCAUGUGAGCGCAAGCAAAUAUGCAGCAGCAGCAGUUACUACAAAGGGUGGCAUGCAGAUGCCAAUAUCUGGCCUAAACCUCAGAGUGAUUCAUGAUCCAGGGGAAGAGGAGCAUUUGGCCGCCUAAGUCAUGUGCAGAACUCUAUCUGUGUCCAUUGGUUUGCUACUGCAUGGACAAAGACAUGGAUGGCUGACUCAGUAGAUCUUGCCAUCUCCAGUUUCCAUGAAUGAUGGACUAUGUUUAGUGGUUGAUGCUGUGGAGGAAACAGGGCUGAGGAGAGGCUGCACAGCGGAAAGAAAUCUCAGAGGCAUGCUGGCUUCAACCAGAAUGACUCCAGGGCCCUGGGUGAGUCAUGCUGCACCAGGAGUUUUGUACCACCCUUAAAAAGGAGGCAGCACUUGCUUUUCCCCACCUGGCCCUACUCUGCUGACCACUACAGAAGGAUCUCAUAGCACUGCCUUGCCUGUGCCUUCCUUCCCCCCAUUGAGCAGCCUAGCAGUAGUGCUGUUUCCACACCUCCCGCACAGGGUACCUGAAAUCCUUACUGUAUUUUAACUCAGUCCUAACUCAGGCAAAACUUCCACUUAGGCACUGGAAAUUUUUCUUGAAUAAAGAUUGAGAUAAACAUGAGGGAAAGACUCAGGAUUAGGCCCAGAGUGCACAAGGACUAAGAAUGUGGCUGGCCCCCUGGGCAAGUUAGAAAAGAUCUGGGGGUUGUAGACCAUGGUUCUUUGUGCCGUCUCUCACCUUGUCCAUCAAUGCAUACUUACGCUAUUGACCAGAUUUUUCAAAAGAACUCAGUACUCACAGCUGGAGCUAAAUGUUCAAAAUUGUUCAGCGGGUUCAGUGCAUAUUGGGUGCAGAGCUCUUUUGAAAAAUCUAACCGUAAAUGUGAUACUGGCAGUUGCUGAGUGCAGAGCACUGCUGAAAAUCUGGUCCUAAUAUAGAUGCUUAAAUGGAGAGAGGAGCUCUUCUGAAAACCAAUUUGGAUGCCAAGUCUAGUGUAUUGACAACAGUGUAAAGAUAAGCUAUCAUUUUAAAUUCUUAGAGGUUUUCCAGAUCCAGCUUGCAGGGUAGGGAAGCGUGUUAUCUUGUCUUCCAACAGUCAAUCUGCAAAGAGCCAGCCUAGAGCAAGGUGGAGUGGGUUUUGUCACUCUGCCCUUAGGGAGCAGCCUGCUUUCUCUUUCUCUGUUUUUGGUUCUUCAGUGUUAAGGGUCUGGAUUUUAAGAAAUAAAUUAAUGUUACAUUGCAACCUUCCAGAAAGAAUAUUCUAUGCUUUUAUCUAACUUCUCUGUUUGUAUUCUGUGAAUGUAACACUGAUCCCUUUGAAGUCUGGCCCCACAAGUAUAUAUCCCUGCACCCUACACUGGCGUAGUUCUAAGUCUGCAAAUACAUAUUAUCUUAUUACAGCAAGACUAAUUUUUCUCAUGGUAAAUAACAGGCAUCUAUGAUAAUGCAUAUCUUAUCUCUACCAAGUUUCCAUCAUAUUAGUGUUAAUUAAGACUGUUAAUGUAACUGUUUAAACCUCUGCCAGGGAUGCCAGUAGUAAAAUUUAGUUUUCGUGAUUGACAGUAUAUAUGAGGACAAAUCAGGGUAAAUUGAAUAUAAACAUUUUCUAGAAACAACAAUUGGGGUGCUAUGUUCAUAAUGCAGGAAGGUUCUUCUGUGAACUCCAAGUGUGUUAUGACCCCCACAGAUUGCAAAACUGCUACCUAGGCAAUAAAA